RNAcentral lists this transfer RNA (70 nucleotides) under Cyrtodactylus pubisulcus (Inger's bow-fingered gecko). Its description in RNAcentral is "tRNA-Trp". Lineage: Eukaryota; Metazoa; Chordata; Lepidosauria; Squamata; Gekkonidae. The record is from RNAcentral.
AAGUUUAGGUUAAACCAACCAAGAGCCUUCAAAGCCCUAAACAAGAGUCUAACACACCCUCCUAACUUCU